GAUGAGCUUGGCGAGCGUGGACUUGCCGCCGCCGUUCGGGCCGGUGAUGACCGUGAAGCGGUCGUCGGGGAUCGUGAGCGUGAGGUCGUCG
This 91-nucleotide transfer RNA is filed under the name Gordonibacter pamelaeae. RNAcentral's name for it is "tRNA-Pro". The record is from RNAcentral. Lineage: Bacteria; Bacillati; Actinomycetota; Coriobacteriia; Eggerthellales; Eggerthellaceae.